UCAUUAUUAUCAUUAUUAUCAUCAUUAUUGUCGAAGCUGGAGGCAAAGAGUCAGAUUUCCGCCCGAGGAGUUUCUUUUGUCUUUGAUGACAGAGUGGACGCUGAAUGGGAAAUGGGAAUAAAUGAUGACUGAUCAGAUGGUUCUGCUGAUUCAUUCACCUUUAUAUUUUUUCUCUCUUUUGUGGCCCAGAUGUUCGGAAGGCCAAGUCGACCUUUACGUCUUCCUCUGCCAGUUCUGAGCAAACUACGGCUACUUGCAUCAAAAACACAUUUCAAAUGAAGUGUUUUCAUGGGUUCCUCAGGGGUCUUGGUUGUUCACAAGGGUUCUCGAGGGUUCCUGCUCACCCUGUCAACAAUCAGCGUGUCCUCAAUAAGGACGACCAAACGUGUAGAUCCAGACCGUUUGGCUCAAACUCUGGAUGUUUGUGUCAUCGGACCACAGCGGCAGGAAGUGAGCCUGUUUUCCUGUAAGUGAGUGAGCGCAGCUCUCAAAUACCACUCCUGUUAGUCCGCCCCAGCAGCUGCUGCGCUCCCAGGUUCCCUGAAGGCACCACCACAACAGGAACGCCGCGAGGGUGACCUCACCCUCCUCCUUCGGUUGUGCGGGCGUGGGUGAGACCUUCUGUGCUGUGAGCGUCUGCGGCGGGAGCCAGCGGCUCGGAGAAGGUCCCGGCCGGUUUCCUGUCGUCCCACCGUGAAGCAGCCCGGUCAGCCGGAGGGCCGCCAGCCACUCCGGGUUCACCGGGUUGGUCUCCCCCAUGCAGAGAGAGAGAGAGAGAGAGAGACUCCCCCACGUGGCACAGCCUCUGUGGACACAACAAGAGGACCUGAGUGGAUCUGGACCUCAGGAAUGAGUCUUUAGGUUAAAGGGGAAAACGUGCACUCAACACUACACGGGAAGUAAAACGUCACAGGACCAGAUGUUUGUGUUUCUACUCGGUGUCUCCUGCUACGUAGGAGACACGUGUGUUUACAGCCACUAGAACCCAAAAGCUCAACUCAGAGACAGGAAUCCAAUCAAAGUUCUCUACUUGUUCAGUCAGGGUGAAAACCGGGACGUCCGUCCAACAGGAGAACAAACCCAGAGGGGCAGGCAGGGAACGUCUACACGAGAACCAGGACAUCAGGCCAAAUGAGAAACGCUGGAGAACCUGGGAUACGCGAGACAAUCCGGCAGAGGGCAAGUGAGGGACCGACGAGGCUGCAGGCGGGACGGCCACGAGGACCAGGUGAAGACAGGGAGAUGGUCUCGUGUUGAGGACAGGACCUGGAAUGACAAGCAGGAGAAACAACUGAUGCGACUUUGUGACUCGUGAGCCGGUCCAACUGAAGACGCAGGUCAGCGUCUUCUUCACAUCAAAGCAGUUGUGUUAAUAAUGAAGACGUGUGCGUUGUUACGCUGCUGAGACGCUGGUCCAAUCGCUCUUCGUCCUGAGGUCGAAUUCCCUCACAACCACAAGGAGGAAAGUACCAACAAGUCAAUGCGAAGGACCAAGAGUCUCUUUAUUCUGUAGAACUUGAAUGAAUAAAUAUUGAUGAUGAUAUUCAA
Molecule: non-coding RNA, 1548 nt
Organism: Gasterosteus aculeatus aculeatus (three-spined stickleback)
Lineage: Eukaryota; Metazoa; Chordata; Actinopteri; Perciformes; Gasterosteidae
Source: RefSeq, a predicted model, not a curated record